GACCGCUGAAGGCGGGACCAAAUUCAGUAGCUUUGAAAAGUGUCGAAACACGAAAAGAGGUACAAUAUGAUUACCAGAUUAAAAGGUGCAUUGGUGCUUGAAGAUAUACAUAUUUUCUACAUAUAUCAGUGGUAAUCACAAAAAGAAAUGAUCACAUCUCACCAUCAAAUUAAAGCCUUGACCGGAGAAAUAACCAUUGUUGGCAACU
This 208-nucleotide long non-coding RNA is filed under the name Helianthus annuus (common sunflower). RNAcentral describes it as "sRNA HanXRQr2_Chr06g0242151". The record is from RNAcentral. Lineage: Eukaryota; Viridiplantae; Streptophyta; Magnoliopsida; Asterales; Asteraceae.